RNAcentral lists this ribosomal RNA (628 nucleotides) under uncultured bacterium. Its description in RNAcentral is "bacterial SSU rRNA". It matches the Rfam family "Bacterial small subunit ribosomal RNA", at positions 28 to 670 of the family's 1533-position model. The record is from RNAcentral.
GACGAACGCUGGCGGCGUGCUUAACACAUGCAAGUCGAGCGAUGAAGUUUCUUCGGAAAUGGAUUAGCGGCGAACGGGUGAGGAACACGUGAAGAAUCUGCCCUCCACUUUGGGAUAACACAGGGAAACCUGUGCUAAUACCGAAUAUUGAAACAUAAGUGGCAUCACUGAGUUUUGAAAGAAUUUCGGUGGAGGAUGACUUCGCGGCCUAUCAGCUAGUUGGUGAGGUAAUGGCUCACCAAGGCAACGACGGGUAGCCGGCCUGAGAGGGCGACCGGCCACACUGGGACUGAGACACGGCCCAGACUCCUACGGGAGGCAGCGGUGGGGAAUAUUGGGCAAUGGAGGAAACUCUGACCCAGCGACGCCGCGUGCGGGAUGAAGGCCUUCGGGUUGUAAACCGCUUUCAGUAGGGAAGAAGCGAAAGUGACGGUACCUACAAAAGAAGCACCGGCUAACUAUGUGCCAGCAGCCGCGGUAAUACAUAGGGUGCAAGCGUUGUCCGGAAUUAUUGGGCGUAAAGAGCUCGUAGGUCGUUUGUUACGUCGGAUGUGAAAACCUGAGGCUCAACCUCAGGCCUGCAUUCGAUACGGGCAAACUAGAGUUUGGUAGGGGAGACUGGAAUUCC